AGAGUUUGAUCAUGGCUCAGAGCGAACGCUGGCGGCAGGCCUAAUACAUGCAAGUCGAACGGUCUCUUCGGAGGCAGUGGCGGACGGGUGAGUAACGCGUGGGAAUAUGCCCUUUGGUACGGAACAACUGAGGGAAACUUCAGCUAAUACCGUAUGUGCCCUUCGGGGGGAAAGAUUUAUCGCCAUUGGAGUAGCCCGCGUUGGAUUAGGUAGUUGGUGGGGUAAAGGCCUACCAAGCCUACGAUCCAUAGCUGGUCUGAGAGGAUGAUCAGCCACACUGGGACUGAGACACGGCCCAGACUCCUACGGGAGGCAGCAGUAGGGAAUCUUGCGCAAUGGGCGAAAGCCUGACGCAGCCAUGCCGCGUGAAUGAUGAAGGUCUUAGGAUUGUAAAAUUCUUUCACCGGGGAAGAUAAUGACGGUACCCGGAGAAGAAGCCCCGGCUAACUUCGUG
This 454-nucleotide ribosomal RNA is filed under the name uncultured bacterium. RNAcentral's name for it is "bacterial SSU rRNA". It matches the Rfam family "Bacterial small subunit ribosomal RNA", at positions 8 to 507 of the family's 1533-position model. The record is from RNAcentral.